RNAcentral lists this ribosomal RNA (441 nucleotides) under uncultured bacterium. Its description in RNAcentral is "partial 16S ribosomal RNA". It matches the Rfam family "Bacterial small subunit ribosomal RNA", at positions 338 to 795 of the family's 1533-position model. The record is from RNAcentral.
CCUACGGGUGGCAGCAGUGGGGAAUAUUGCACAAUGGGGGAAACCCUGAUGCAGCAACGCCGCGUGAGGGAUGAAUUAUUUCGGUGUGUAAAGCUCUAUCAGCAAGGGAUUGAAAAGAAGGUACCUGAACUAGAAGCACCGGCUAACUGCGUGCCAGCAGCCGCGGUAAUACGUAGGGGCCAAGCGUUAUCCGGAUUUACUGGGUUUAAAGGGAGCGUAGACGGGAAGGUAAGUCAGAGGUGAAAGCCCAAGGCUCAACCAUGGGAUUGCUUUUGAAACUGGCAAACUAGAGUACGGGAGAGGUAAGCGGAAUUCCUGGUGUAGCGGUGAAAUGCGUAGAUAUUAGGAGGAACCCCAGUGGCGAAGGCGGCUUACUGAACUGAAACUGACGUUGAGGCUCGAAAGCGUGGGGAGCAAACAGGAUUAGAUACCCCAGUAGUC